This 253-nucleotide ribosomal RNA is filed under the name uncultured bacterium. RNAcentral's name for it is "partial 16S ribosomal RNA". It matches the Rfam family "Bacterial small subunit ribosomal RNA", at positions 524 to 776 of the family's 1533-position model. The record is from RNAcentral.
UACGAAGGGAGCUAGCGUUGUUCGGAAUCACUGGGCGUAAAGCGCACGUAGGCGGAUGUGUCAGUCAGGGGUGAAAUCCCGGAGCUCAACUUCGGAACUGCCUUUGAUACAGCACGUCUUGAGUCCGGAAGAGGUGGGUGGAAUUCCUAGUGUAGAGGUGAAAUUCGUAGAUAUUGGGAAGAACACCGAUGGCGAAGGCAGCCAUCUGGACCGACACUGACGCUGAGGCGCGAAAGCGUGGGGAGCAAACAGG